CUGGGACUUUGUAGCAAUGUGAUGGUGGCACCGAGUUGAAACUGAAGAAUACAUUGUUUUUUGGCAGAGAACUGUGGGGAGAACGUUCUAGAAGGGGGAAACUCAAACGAGAGACACUAAGAAGAACCAUGUCACAGGAGGAGUGCCACACAAGCCAUAUCGCUGCCACGCAGCUCCACCUGGAACAUCCACUCCCGUGGGAUCCAAGAGAUUAGGGAGACAACAGUGCUUGAAUGCAAGCCAUCUCACUGGCAGCUCCCGGAGUGUCUGGGCUGACAUGGAAGGUUCUAGAAUCUACUUGUUGGGCUGUGAGAGGACUCAAUGGGCCAGCAGCAGCCUUCAGUGGGCUCACAUGAGUGGCUGCUGAGUGUGUGCAGGGUCCUUGUCUCUAGCUCACACGGGCUAAAUGGACACCGUAAUGUGACUUCACUACCUCCUCUCCCAUGGAGCCCACGAGCAUCUGUGAUGACAUCGUCACCGUCUUCGAGAAUGAGAGCUUCGUGUGAAGGACCAUGGCCCUACAAGUGGCUUUUGUGUUCUCAGCCUUUGGCACAGGAGGCUGUUAGUAAGGG
Molecule: long non-coding RNA, 572 nt
Filed under: Cricetulus griseus (Chinese hamster)
Lineage: Eukaryota; Metazoa; Chordata; Mammalia; Rodentia; Cricetidae
Description: lncRNA (ENSCGRG00015038927.1)
Source: RNAcentral